GCUGGGCGUGGUGGUGCAUGCCUGUAGUCCCGGUUACUGGGGAAGCUGAGGCAAGAGGAUUGUUUGAGCCCAUGAGUUCUGGGUUAUAGUGUGCUACGCCGUUCUGGUGUCUGCAUUAAGUUCGGCAUCAAUGUGGUGUCCUCCUGGGAGCAGGGGACCACCUGUUUGUCUAAGGAAGGUGAACUGACCCAGGUUGGAAGGAGGGCAGGUCAAAACUGCUGUGCUGAUCAACAAUGGGAUUGCACCUGGGAGUAGCCACUGCACUCCAGUGUGGUUGACAUGGUGAAGCCCUGUCUCUA
Molecule: unclassified non-coding RNA, 299 nt
Organism: Macaca mulatta (Rhesus monkey)
Lineage: Eukaryota; Metazoa; Chordata; Mammalia; Primates; Cercopithecidae
Rfam family: Metazoan signal recognition particle RNA
About the family: The signal recognition particle (SRP) is a universally conserved ribonucleoprotein. It is involved in the co-translational targeting of proteins to membranes. The eukaryotic SRP consists of a 300-nucleotide 7S RNA and six proteins: SRPs 72, 68, 54, 19, 14, and 9.
Source: Ensembl